CACGUAGGCGGGUCUUUAAGUCAGGGGUGAAAUCCUGGAGCUCAACUCCAGAACUGCCUUUGAUACUGGAGACCUGGAGUUCGGGAGAGGUGAGUGGAACUGCGAGUGUAGAGGUGAAAUUCGUAGAUAUUCGCAAGAACACCAGUGGCGAAGGCGGCUCACUGGCCCGAUACUGACGCUGAGGUGCGAAAGCGUGGGGAGCAAACA
Molecule: ribosomal RNA, 207 nt
Filed under: uncultured bacterium
Lineage: Bacteria
Description: partial 16S ribosomal RNA
Rfam family: Bacterial small subunit ribosomal RNA
Source: RNAcentral